Molecule: ribosomal RNA, 468 nt
Filed under: uncultured bacterium
Lineage: Bacteria
Description: partial 16S ribosomal RNA
Rfam family: Bacterial small subunit ribosomal RNA
Source: RNAcentral
GACGAACGCUGGCGGCGUGCUUAACACUUGCAAGUCGAACGGAUAGGCCCUGCUUUUGUGGGGUGCUCGAGUGGCGAACGGGUGAGUAACACGUGAGUAACCUGCCCUUGACUUUGGGAUAACUUCAGGAAACUGGGGCUAAUACCGGAUAGGAGCUCCUGCUGCAUGGUGGGGGUUGGAAAGUUUCGGCGGUUGGGGAUGGACUCGCGGCUUAUCAGCUUGUUGGUGGGGUAGUGGCUUACCAAGGCUUUGACGGGUAGCCGGCCUGAGAGGGUGACCGGCCACAUUGGGACUGAGAUACGGCCCAGACUCCUACGGGAGGCAGCAGUGGGGAAUAUUGCACAAUGGGCGGAAGCCUGAUGCAGCAACGCCGCGUGCGGGAUGACGGCCUUCGGGUUGUAAACCGCUUUCGCCUGUGACGAAGCGUGAGUGACGGUAAUGGGUAAAGAAGCACCGGCUAACUACGUG